RNAcentral lists this ribosomal RNA (2893 nucleotides) under Escherichia coli. RNAcentral describes it as "23S ribosomal RNA". It matches the Rfam family "Bacterial large subunit ribosomal RNA". The record is from RNAcentral. Lineage: Bacteria; Pseudomonadati; Pseudomonadota; Gammaproteobacteria; Enterobacterales; Enterobacteriaceae.
UUAAGCGACUAAGCGUACACGGUGGAUGCCCCGCAGUCAGAGGCGAUGAAGGACGUGCUAAUCUGCGAUAAGCGUCGGUAAGGUGAUAUGAACCGUUAUAACCGGCGAUUUCCGAAUGGGGAAACCCAGUGUGUUUCGACACACUAUCAUUAACUGAAUCCAUAGGUUAAUGAGGCGAACCGGGGGAACUGAAACAUCUAAGUACCCCGAGGAAAAGAAAUCAACCGAGAUUCCCCCAGUAGCGGCGAGCGAACGGGGAGGAGCCCAGAGCCUGAAUCAGUGUGUGUGUUAGUGGAAGCGUCUGGAAAGGCGCGCGAUACAGGUGACAGCCCGUACACAAAAAUGCACAUACUGUGAGCUCGAUGAGUAGGGCGGGACACGUGGUAUCCUGUCUGAAUAUGGGGGGACCAUCCUCCAAGGCUAAAUACUCCUGACUGACCGAUAGUGAACCAGUACCGUGAGGGAAAGGCGAAAAGAACCCCGGCGAGGGGAGUGAAAAAGAACCUGAAACCGUGUACGUACAAGCAGUGGGAGCCUCUUUAUGGGGUGACUGCGUACCUUUUGUAUAAUGGGUCAGCGACUUAUAUUCUGUAGCAAGGUUAACCGAAUAGGGGAGCCGAAGGGAAACCGAGUCUUAACUGGGCGUUAAGUUGCAGGGUAUAGACCCGAAACCCGGUGAUCUAGCCAUGGGCAGGUUGAAGGUUGGGUAACACUAACUGGAGGACCGAACCGACUAAUGUUGAAAAAUUAGCGGAUGACUUGUGGCUGGGGGUGAAAGGCCAAUCAAACCGGGAGAUAGCUGGUUCUCCCCGAAAGCUAUUUAGGUAGCGCCUCGUGAAUUCAUCUCCGGGGGUAGAGCACUGUUUCGGCAAGGGGGUCAUCCCGACUUACCAACCCGAUGCAAACUGCGAAUACCGGAGAAUGUUAUCACGGGAGACACACGGCGGGUGCUAACGUCCGUCGUGAAGAGGGAAACAACCCAGACCGCCAGCUAAGGUCCCAAAGUCAUGGUUAAGUGGGAAACGAUGUGGGAAGGCCCAGACAGCCAGGAUGUUGGCUUAGAAGCAGCCAUCAUUUAAAGAAAGCGUAAUAGCUCACUGGUCGAGUCGGCCUGCGCGGAAGAUGUAACGGGGCUAAACCAUGCACCGAAGCUGCGGCAGCGACGCUUAUGCGUUGUUGGGUAGGGGAGCGUUCUGUAAGCCUGCGAAGGUGUGCUGUGAGGCAUGCUGGAGGUAUCAGAAGUGCGAAUGCUGACAUAAGUAACGAUAAAGCGGGUGAAAAGCCCGCUCGCCGGAAGACCAAGGGUUCCUGUCCAACGUUAAUCGGGGCAGGGUGAGUCGACCCUAAGGCGAGGCCGAAAGGCGUAGUCGAUGGGAAACAGGUUAAUAUUCCUGUACUUGGUGUUACUGCGAAGGGGGACGGAGAAGGCUAUGUUGGCCGGGCGACGGUUGUCCCGGUUUAAGCGUGUAGGCUGGUUUUCCGGCAAAUCCGGAAAAUCAAGGCUGAGGCGUGAUGACGAGGCACUACGGUGCUGAAGCAACAAAUGCCCUGCUUCCGUGAAAAGCCUCUAAGCAUCAGGUAACAUCAAAUCGUACCCCAAACCGACACAGGUGGUCAGGUAGAGAAUACCAAGGCGCUUGAGAGAACUCGGGUGAAGGAACUAGGCAAAAUGGUGCCGUAACUUCGGGAGAAGGCACGCUGAUAUGUAGGUGAAGCGACUUGCUCGUGGAGCUGAAAUCAGUCGAAGAUACCAGCUGGCUGCAACUGUUUAUUAAAAACACAGCACUGUGCAAACACGAAAGUGGACGUAUACGGUGUGACGCCUGCCCGGUGCCGGAAGGUUAAUUGAUGGGGUUAGCGGUAACGCGAAGCUCUUGAUCGAAGCCCCGGUAAACGGCGGCCGUAACUAUAACGGUCCUAAGGUAGCGAAAUUCCUUGUCGGGUAAGUUCCGACCUGCACGAAUGGCGUAAUGAUGGCGGGCUGUCUCCACCCGAGACUCAGUGAAAUUGAACUCGCUGUGAAGAUGCAGUGUACCCGCGGCAAGACGGAAAGACCCCGUGAACCUUUACUAUAGCUUGACACUGAACAUUGAGCCUUGAUGUGUAGGAUAGGUGGGAGGCUUUGAAGUGUGGACGCCAGUCUGCAUGGAGCCGACCUUGAAAUACCACCCUUUAAUGUUUGAUGUUCUAACGUUGGCCCGUAAUCCGGGUUGCGGACAGUGUCUGGUGGGUAGUUUGACUGGGGCGGUCUCCUCCUAAAGAGUAACGGAGGAGCACGAAGGUUGGCUAAUCCUGGUCGGACAUCAGGAGGUUAGUGCAAUGGCAUAAGCCAGCUUGACUGCGAGCGUGACGGCGCGAGCAGGUGCGAAAGCAGGUCAUAGUGAUCCGGUGGUUCUGAAUGGAAGGGCCAUCGCUCAACGGAUAAAAGGUACUCCGGGGAUAACAGGCUGAUACCGCCCAAGAGUUCAUAUCGACGGCGGUGUUUGGCACCUCGAUGUCGGCUCAUCACAUCCCGGGCUGAAGUAGGUCCCAAGGGUAUGGCUGUUCGCCAUUUAAAGUGGUACGCGAGCUGGGUUUAGAACGUCGUGAGACAGUUCGGUCCCUAUCGCCGUGGGCGCUGGAGAACUGAGGGGGGCUGCUCCUAGUACGAGAGGACCGGAGUGGACGCAUCACUGGUGUUCGGGUUGUCAUGCCAAUGGCACUGCCCGGUAGCUAAAUGCGGAAGAGAUAAGUGCUGAAAGCAUCUAAGCACGAAACUUGCCCCGAGAUGAGUUCUCCCUGAGACUUUAAGUCUCCUGAAGGAACGUUGAAGACGACGACGUUGAUAGGCCGGGUGUGUAAGCGCAGCGAUGCGUUGAGCUAACCGGUACUAAUGAACCGUGAGGCUUAACCU